GCUGGGCAUGGUGGCCUAUGCCUGUAAUCCCAGUGGCUCGGGAGGCUGAGGCAGGAGGAUCGUGCAUUCAAACCAGCUUCAGCAACUUUGAGGCACUAAGCAGCUCAGUGAGACCCUGUCUCUA
RNAcentral lists this small RNA (124 nucleotides) under Marmota monax (woodchuck). The record is from RNAcentral. Lineage: Eukaryota; Metazoa; Chordata; Mammalia; Rodentia; Sciuridae.